Molecule: ribosomal RNA, 540 nt
Filed under: Triticum aestivum (bread wheat)
Lineage: Eukaryota; Viridiplantae; Streptophyta; Magnoliopsida; Poales; Poaceae
Description: partial small subunit ribosomal RNA
Source: RNAcentral
AUGAGUUGGAGCAGAGAAAGGGAGGAAGGAAGCAUCGGAGAAAGGGCUCGCCGGAAGGCAGCGGGAUCACCGGGCGGGAACAGGAUUGACUUCAGGCGGCGGCUAUUUGCAUGGAUGCAGGCAUGCAGCCACCGCUUGGUGCAGCGCCUCAUCGACCGCGGCGGGAACAGGAUUGACUUCAGGCGGCGGCUCCUGUCCAGGCUCAUGCAGCACCUCGUUAGACUGUCCAACAACUGGUUCGGGAGGUUCGUCCUGCAGCGCUGCUUCCAGAACGCGGUGGUCGCGCUGCAGCCCAUCGUGCUCACGGCUUGUGCUGACCUGCCCCAAGGAGACAUCCAAGCGCUGGUGAUGCACGAGGAGCUCCAGCCCCUCCACAGGGUGCUCCAGGGAGGCAACACUAACUACCCGGCAGAGGCGAGGAGGUUGUCGCUCAAGAUUCAAGCACUGCCUCUACAUAUCCGGGAACAAGAAGAGUUGCAGCCGUUGAUGAGGGCCGUCACGAGGGUCCUCGCCGAUAACCUGGCCAACUUGGGCGACUAG